AUUGAACGCUGGCGGCAUGCCUUACACAUGCAAGUCGAACGGCAGCGGGGACUUCGGUCCGCCGGCGAGUGGCGAACGGGUGAGUAAUGUAUCGGAACGUACCAUUGAGUGGGGGAUAACGUAGCGAAAGUUACGCUAAUACCGCAUAUUCUCUCCGGAGGAAAGCAGGGGACCGCAAGGCCUUGCGCUCUUUGAGCGGCCGAUAUCAGAUUAGCUAGUUGGUGAGGUAAAGACUCACCAAGGCGACGAUCUGUAGCGGGUCCGAGAGGAUGAUCCGCCACACUGGAACUGAGACACGGUCCAGACUCCUACGGGAGGGAGCAGUGGGGAAUUUUGGACAAUGGGGGCAACCCUGAUCCAGCCAUGCCGCGUGAGUGAAGAAGGCCUUCGGGUUGUAAAGCUCUUUCGGCCGGGAAAAAAUCGCAUGGGCUAAUACCCUGUGUGGAUGAUGGUACCGGAAUAAGAAGCACCGGCUAACUACGUGCCAGCCGCCGCCGUAA
This 500-nucleotide ribosomal RNA is filed under the name uncultured bacterium. Its description in RNAcentral is "partial 16S ribosomal RNA". It matches the Rfam family "Bacterial small subunit ribosomal RNA", at positions 30 to 523 of the family's 1533-position model. The record is from RNAcentral.